UGAUGAGGCCUGUGCAUAUAGGGCGGG
Molecule: non-coding RNA, 27 nt
Filed under: Rattus norvegicus (Norway rat)
Lineage: Eukaryota; Metazoa; Chordata; Mammalia; Rodentia; Muridae
Source: RNAcentral